UAACGCGUGGGUAACCUGCCUUGUACUGGGGGAUAGCAGCUGGAAACGGCUGGUAAUACCGCAUAAGCGCACAAUGUUGCAUGACAUGGUGUGAAAAACUCCGGUGGUAUAAGAUGGACCCGCGUCUGAUUAGCUAGUUGGUGAGAUAACAGCCCACCAAGGCGACGAUCAGUAGCCGACCUGAGAGGGUGACCGGCCACAUUGGGACUGAGACACGGCCCAGACUCCUACGGGAGGCAGCAUG
This 244-nucleotide ribosomal RNA is filed under the name uncultured bacterium. Its description in RNAcentral is "partial 16S ribosomal RNA". It matches the Rfam family "Bacterial small subunit ribosomal RNA", at positions 111 to 353 of the family's 1533-position model. The record is from RNAcentral.